AAGUCGUAACAAGGUUUCCGUAGGUGAACCUGCGGAAGGAUCAUUACCAAAUCCAAAAAAAACCCUAUCAACACCCAAAGCAAGUGAACUGUGAAUGGUUUCGUUCCCUCCUCUUCGGUGCUCUGCCCGCGUUUGCGCGCGUGCGUGUGCGUGUGGAGGAGGGAAUGUUUUUAUUUUUCCAACCCCUUUUCAACCUAUACAAUACCUUUCUCAAUGCUGAAAGCAAAAACAAAAAAACGAAACAUGAGACAACUUUUAACGGUGGAUCUCUUGGCUCGU
RNAcentral lists this unclassified non-coding RNA (279 nucleotides) under fungal sp. Its description in RNAcentral is "partial internal transcribed spacer region". The stretch from base 1 to 46 matches the Rfam family "Eukaryotic small subunit ribosomal RNA", at positions 1786 to 1831 of the family's 1831-position model. Lineage: Eukaryota; Fungi. The record is from RNAcentral.